Molecule: small RNA, 1527 nt
Filed under: Pan troglodytes (chimpanzee)
Lineage: Eukaryota; Metazoa; Chordata; Mammalia; Primates; Hominidae
Description: retained intron
Source: RNAcentral
GAGUUACUGUGCUCUCUUCCAAGGCUGUAGGAGUUCUGGAGCUGCUGGCUGGAGAGGAGGGUGGACCAAGCUCUCCCCAGAAAGACAUCCUGAGAGGACUUGGCAGGCUGGCAAGCGACCCCCAAGCCCAGCCCUGUGGUGGGUGAAUGGGAAGGGGAAGGAAUUAAUGUGGAAUUUCAGAGAACUGAGUGAAAACAGCCAGCAGGCAGCCAACGUCCUCUCGGGAGCCUGUGGCCUGCAGCGUGGGGAUCGUGUGGCAGUGAUGCUGCCCCGAGUGCCUGAGUGGUGGCUGGUGAUCCUGGGCUGCAUUCGAGCAGGUCUCAUCUUUAUGCCUGGAACCAUCCAGAUGAAAUCCACUGACAUAAUGUAUAGGUUGCAGAUGUCUAAGGCCAAGGCUAUUGUUGCUGGGGAUGAAGUCAUCCAAGAAGUGGACACAGUGGCAUCUGAAUGUCCUUCUCUGAGAAUUAGGUUACUGGUGUCUGAGAAAAGCUGCGAUGGGUGGCUGAACUUCAAGAAACUACUAAAUGAGGCAUCCACCACUCAUCACUGUGUGGAGACUGGAAGCCAGGAAGCAUCUGCCAUCUACUUCACUAGUGGGAGCAGUGGUCUUCCCAAGAUGGCAGAACAUUCCCACUCGAGCCUGGGCCUCAAGGCCAAGAUGGAUGCUGGUUGGACAGGCCUGCAAGCCUCUGAUAUAAUGUGGACCAUAUCAGACACAGGUUGGAUACUGAACAUCUUGGGCUCACUUUUGGAAUCUUGGACAUUAGGAGCAUGCACAUUUGUUCAUCUCUUGCCAAAGUUUGACCCACUGGUUAUUCUAAAGACACUCUCCAGCUACCCAAUCAAGAUUAUGAUGAGUGCCCCCAUUGUUUACCGGAUGUUGCUACAGCAGGAUCUUUCCAGUUACAAGUUCCCCCAUCUACAGAACUGCCUCGCUGGAGGGGAGUCCCUUCUUCCAGAAACUCUGGAGAACUGGAGGGCCCAGACAGGACUGGACAUCCGAGAAUUCUAUGGCCAGACAGAAACGGGAUUAACUUGCAUAGUUUCCAAGACAAUGAAAAUCAAACCAGGAUACAUGGGAACGGCUGCUUCCUGUUAUGAUGUACAGGUUAUAGAUGAUAAGGGCAACAUCCUGCCCCCUGGCACAGAAGGAGACAUUGGCAUCAGGGUCAAACCCAUCAGGCCUAUAGGCAUCUUCUCUGGCUAUGUGGACAAUCCUGACAAGACAGCAGCCAACAUUCGAGGAGACUUUUGGCUCCUUGGAGACCGGGGAAUCAAAGAUGAAGAUGGGUAUUUCCAGUUUAUGGGACGGGCAGAUGAUAUCAUUAACUCCAGCGGGUACCGGAUUGGACCCUCGGAGGUAGAGAAUGCACUGAUGAAGCACCCUGCUGUGGUUGAGACGGCUGUGAUCAGCAGCCCAGACCCCGUCCGAGGAGAGGUGAUGGGGAAGCAGUAGCCUGGGGGUGAACACAUAUGAACACAAGGGCAGUGUAGUAUGAUGGUUUAAGAACAGGGACUGUGUGGCUG